Molecule: ribosomal RNA, 253 nt
Filed under: uncultured bacterium
Lineage: Bacteria
Description: partial 16S ribosomal RNA
Rfam family: Bacterial small subunit ribosomal RNA
Source: RNAcentral
UACGUAGGGUGCAAGCGUUGUCCGGAAUUAUUGGGCGUAAAGAGCUCGUAGGCGGUUUGUCGCGUCUGCUGUGAAAACCCGAGGCUCAACCUCGGGCCUGCAGUGGGUACGGGCGGACUAGAGUGCGGUAGGGGAGAUUGGAAUUCCUGGUGUAGCGGUGGAAUGCGCAGAUAUCAGGAGGAACACCAAUGGCGAAGGCAGAUCUCUGGGCCGUAACUGACGCUGAGGAGCGAAAGCAUGGGGAGCGAACAGG